RNAcentral lists this ribosomal RNA (492 nucleotides) under uncultured bacterium. RNAcentral's name for it is "partial 16S ribosomal RNA". It matches the Rfam family "Bacterial small subunit ribosomal RNA", at positions 29 to 507 of the family's 1533-position model. The record is from RNAcentral.
AGUGAACGCUGGCGGUAGGCCUAACACAUGCAAGUCGAACGGCAGCACAGUAAGAGCUUGCUCUUACGGGUGGCGAGUGGCGGACGGGUGAGGAAUACAUCGGAAUCUACUUUUUCGUGGGGGAUAACGUAGGGAAACUUACGCUAAUACCGCAUACGACCUACGGGUGAAAGCAGGGGAUCUUCGGACCUUGCGCGAUUGAAUGAGCCGAUGUCGGAUUAGCUAGUUGGCGGGGUAAAGGCCCACCAAGGCGACGAUCCGUAGCUGGUCUGAGAGGAUGAACAGGCACACCUGAACCUGGAAACGGGCCCAGCUCCCUAGGGAGGCAAGCAUGGGGAAAUUUUGGCCAAUGGGGGCAAGCUUGAUCAAGCCAUACCGCUGGGUUGAAGAAGGCUUUGGGGUUGUAAGCCCUUUUGUUGGGAAAGAAAAGCAGCAGGUUAAUACCCCGCUGUUCUGAUGGUACCCAAAGAAUAAGCACCGGCUAACUUCGUG